ACGUAAUAGAUACCCAGGUAGUCCAUGCCGUAAACGAUGAGUGCUAAGUGUUAGGGGGUUUCCGCCCCUUAGUGCUGCAGCUAAACGCAUUAAGCACUCCGCCUGGGGAGUACGACCGCAAGGUUGAAACUCAAAGGAAUUGACGGGGGGCCCGCACAAGCGGUGGAGCAUGUGGUUUAAUUCGAAGCAACGCGAAGAACCUUACCAGGUCUUGACAUCCCAGUGACCGCUCUAGAGACAGAGUUUUCCCUUCGGGGACAUUGGUGACAGGUGGUGCAUGGUUGUCGUCAGCUCGUGUCGUGAGAUGUUGGGUUAAGUCCCGCAACGAGCGCAACCCUUGAUCUUAGUCGCCAUCAUUUAGUUGGGCACUCUAAGGUGACUGCCGGUGACAAACCGGAGGAAGGUGGGGAUGACGUCAAAUCAUCAUGCCCCUUAUGACCUGGGCUACACACGUGCUACAAUGGACGGUACAAAGAGUCGCUAACUCGCGAGAGUACGCUAAUCUCAUAAAACC
RNAcentral lists this ribosomal RNA (514 nucleotides) under uncultured bacterium. Its description in RNAcentral is "bacterial SSU rRNA". It matches the Rfam family "Bacterial small subunit ribosomal RNA", at positions 772 to 1283 of the family's 1533-position model. The record is from RNAcentral.